Molecule: ribosomal RNA, 497 nt
Filed under: uncultured bacterium
Lineage: Bacteria
Description: partial 16S ribosomal RNA
Rfam family: Bacterial small subunit ribosomal RNA
Source: RNAcentral
GAUGAACGCUGGCGGCGUGCCUAAUACAUGCAAGUCGAGCGAACGGACGAGAAGCUUGCUUCUCUGAUGUUAGCGGCGGACGGGUGAGUAACACGUGGAUAACCUACCUAUAAGUCUGGGAUAACUUCGGGAAACCGGAGCUAAUACCGGAUAAGAUUUUGAACCGCAUGGUUCAAAAGUGAAAUACGGUCUUGCUGUCACUUAUAGAGGGAUCUGCGCUGCAUUAGCUAGUUGGUAAGGUAACGGCUUACCAAGGCAACGAUGCAUAGCCGACCUGAGAGGCUGAUCGGCCACACUGGAAGUGAGACACGGACCAGACUACUACGGGAGGCAGCAGUAGGGAAUCGUCCGCAAUGGGCGGAAGCCUGACGGAGCAACGCCGCGUGAGUGAUGAAGGUCUUCGGAUCGUAAAACUCUGUUAUUAGGGAAGAACAUAUGUGUAAGUAACUGUGCACAUCUUGACGGUACCUAAUCAGAAAGCCACGGCUAACUACGUG